This 207-nucleotide ribosomal RNA is filed under the name uncultured bacterium. RNAcentral describes it as "partial 16S ribosomal RNA". It matches the Rfam family "Bacterial small subunit ribosomal RNA", at positions 568 to 774 of the family's 1533-position model. The record is from RNAcentral.
CUCGUAGGUGGCCAACUAAGUCAUACGUGAAAUCCCUCAGCUUAACUGGGGAACUGCGCCUGAUACUGGUUGGCUUGAGUUUGGGAGAGGGACGCGGAAUUCCAGGUGUAACGGUGAAAUGCGUAGAUAUCUGGAGGAACACCGGUGGCGAAGGCGGCGUCCUGGACCAAUACUGACACUGAGGAGCGAAAGCCAGGGGAGCAAACG